CGAAGCGUGCGAUUGGAUUGCACGUCUAAGCAGUAAGGCUGAGUAUUAGGCAAAUCCGGUACUCGUUAAGGCUGAGCUGUGAUGGGGAGAAGACAUUGUGUCUUCGAGUCGUUGAUUUCACACUGCCGAGAAAAGCCUCUAGAUAGAAAAUAGGUGCCCGUACCGCAAACCGACACAGGUAGUCAAGAUGAGAAUUCUAAGGUGAGCGAGCGAACUCUCGUUAAGGAACUCGGCAAAAUGACCCCGUAACUUCGGGAGAAGGGGUGCUCUUUAGGGUUAACGCCCAGAAGAGCCGCAGUGAAUAGGCCCAAGCGACUGUUUAUCAAAAACACAGGUCUCUGCUAAACCGUAAGGUGAUGUAUAGGGGCUGACGCCUGCCCGGUGCUGGAAGGUUAAGAGGAGUGGUUAGCUUCUGCGAAGCUACGAAUCGAAGCCCCAGUAAACGGCGGCCGUAACUAUAACGGUCCUAAGGUAGCGAAAUUCCUUGUCGGGUAAGUUCCGACCCGCACGAAAGGCGUAACGAUUUGGGCACUGUCUCAACGAGAGACUCGGUGAAAUCAUAGUACCUGUGAAGAUGCAGGUUACCCGCGACAGGACGGAAAGACCCCGUGGAGCUUUACUGUAGCCUGAUAUUGAAAUUCGGCACAGCUUGUACAGGAUAGGUAGGAGCCUUUGAAACGUGAGCGCUAGCUUACGUGGAGGCGCUGGUGGG
Molecule: ribosomal RNA, 712 nt
Filed under: Staphylococcus aureus
Lineage: Bacteria; Bacillati; Bacillota; Bacilli; Caryophanales; Staphylococcaceae
Description: partial 23S ribosomal RNA
Rfam family: Bacterial large subunit ribosomal RNA
Source: RNAcentral